RNAcentral lists this ribosomal RNA (869 nucleotides) under uncultured bacterium. RNAcentral's name for it is "bacterial SSU rRNA". It matches the Rfam family "Bacterial small subunit ribosomal RNA", at positions 100 to 983 of the family's 1533-position model. The record is from RNAcentral.
GAACGGGUGAGUACACGUGGGUGAUCUGCCCUGCACUUUGGGAUAAGCCUGGGAAACUGGGUCUAAUACCGAAUAGGACCACGCGCUUCAUGGUGUGUGGUGGAAAGCUUUUGCGGUGUGGGAUGGGCCCNCNNNCUAUCAGCUUGUUGGUGGGGUAAUGGCCUACCAAGGCGACGACGGGUAGCCGGCCUGAGAGGGUGACCGGCCACACUGGGACUGAGAUACGGCCCAGACUCCUACGGGAGGCAGCAGUGGGGAAUAUUGCACAAUGGGCGCAAGCCUGAUGCAGCGACGCCGCGUGAGGGAUGACGGCCUUCGGGUUGUAAACCUCUUUCAAUAGGGACGAAGCGCAAGUGACGGUACCUAUAGAAGAAGCACCGGCCAACUACGUGCCAGCAGCCGCGGUAAUACGUAGGGUGCGAGCGUUGUCCGGAAUUACUGGGCGUAAAGAGCUCGUAGGUGGUUUGUCGCGUUGUUCGUGAAAACUCACAGCUUAACUGUGGGCGUGCGGGCGAUACGGGCAGACUAGAGUACUGCAGGGGAGACUGGAAUUCCUGGUGUAGCGGUGGAAUGCGCAGAUAUCAGGAGGAACACCGGUGGCGAAGGCGGGUCUCUGGGCAGUAACUGACGCUGAGGAGCGAAAGCGUGGGGAGCGAACAGGAUUAGAUACCCUGGUAGUCCACGCCGUANACGGUGGGUACUAGGUGUGGGUUCCUUCCUUGGGAUCCGUGCCGUAGCUAACGCAUUAAGUACCCCGCCUGGGGAGUACGGCCGNCAGGCUAAAACUCAAAGGAAUUGACGGGGGCCCGNNNAAGCGGCGGAGCAUGUGGAUUAAUUCGAUGCAACGCGAAGAACCUUACCCGGGUUUG